RNAcentral lists this transfer RNA (73 nucleotides) under Stegodyphus mimosarum. It matches the Rfam family "tRNA". From Rfam's summary of the family: Transfer RNA (tRNA) molecules are approximately 80 nucleotides in length. Their secondary structure includes four short double-helical elements and three loops (D, anti-codon, and T loops). Further hydrogen bonds mediate the characteristic L-shaped molecular structure. tRNAs have two regions of fundamental functional importance: the anti-codon, which is responsible for specific mRNA codon recognition, and the 3' end, to which the tRNAs corresponding amino acid is attached (by aminoacyl-tRNA synthetases). tRNAs cope with the degeneracy of the genetic code in two manners: having more than one tRNA (with a specific anti-codon) for a particular amino acid; and 'wobble' base-pairing, i.e. permitting non-standard base-pairing at the 3rd anti-codon position. Lineage: Eukaryota; Metazoa; Arthropoda; Arachnida; Araneae; Eresidae. The record is from Rfam by way of RNAcentral.
GCCUUCGUGGUGCAGUGGUCAGCACGCUCGACGCGUAACCGAGAGGUCCGUGGUUCGAUUCCCGGAGAAAGCG